RNAcentral lists this ribosomal RNA (253 nucleotides) under uncultured bacterium. RNAcentral's name for it is "partial 16S ribosomal RNA". It matches the Rfam family "Bacterial small subunit ribosomal RNA", at positions 524 to 776 of the family's 1533-position model. The record is from RNAcentral.
UACGUAGGGGGCAAGCGUUGUCCGGAAUCAUUGGGCGUAAAGAGCUUGUAGGCGGUUUGUCGCGUCUGCCGUGAAAGCCCAGGGCUUAACCCUGGGUCUGCGGUGGGUACGGGCAGACUAGAGUGUGGUAGGGGAGACUGGAAUUCCUGGUGUAGCGGUGAAAUGCGCAGAUAUCAGGAGGAACACCGAUGGCGAAGGCAGGUCUCUGGGCCACUACUGACGCUGAGAAGCGAAAGCAUGGGGAGCAAACAGG